Molecule: ribosomal RNA, 253 nt
Filed under: uncultured bacterium
Lineage: Bacteria
Description: partial 16S ribosomal RNA
Rfam family: Bacterial small subunit ribosomal RNA
Source: RNAcentral
UACAGAGGUCUCAAGCGUUGUUCGGAUUCAUUGGGCGUAAAGGGUGUGUAGGUGGCGCGCUAAGUCGGGUGUGAAAUUUCGGAGCUUAACUCCGAAACUGCAUUCGAUACUGGCGUGCUUGAGGACUGGAGAGGAGACUGGAAUUUACAGUGUAGCAGUGAAAUGCGUAGAUAUCGUAAGGAAGACCAGUGGCGAAGGCGGGUCUCUGGACAGUUCCUGACACUGAGACACGAAGGCCAGGGGAGCAAACGGG